CGCGGAAGUCGGUGGGCGGGGCUGUCGCCAACCUGGUCAGAUCCGGAAGGAAGCAGCCACAGUGAUUUGGUCCCGGGUCAUCGGCUUCCACCUUU
RNAcentral lists this signal recognition particle RNA (95 nucleotides) under Pseudomonadota bacterium. RNAcentral describes it as "signal recognition particle sRNA small type". It matches the Rfam family "Bacterial small signal recognition particle RNA". Rfam says of the family: The signal recognition particle (SRP) is a universally conserved ribonucleoprotein involved in the co-translational targeting of proteins to membranes. Archaeal SRP consists of a 7S RNA and homologues of the eukaryotic SRP19 and SRP54 proteins. In most bacteria, the SRP consists of a 4.5S RNA and the Ffh protein (a homologue of the eukaryotic SRP54 protein). Lineage: Bacteria; Pseudomonadati; Pseudomonadota. The record is from RNAcentral.